This 588-nucleotide ribosomal RNA is filed under the name uncultured bacterium. Its description in RNAcentral is "bacterial SSU rRNA". It matches the Rfam family "Bacterial small subunit ribosomal RNA", at positions 337 to 916 of the family's 1533-position model. The record is from RNAcentral.
UCCUACGGGAGGCAGCAGUGGGGAAUAUUGGACAAUGGGGGGAACCCUGAUCCAGCCAUGCCGCGUGUGUGAAGAAGGCCCUCGGGUUGUAAAGCACUUUCAGCGAGGAAGAACGCCUAGCGGUCAAUACCCGCUAGGAAAGACAUCACUCGCAGAAGAAGCACCGGCUAACUCCGUGCCAGCAGCCGCGGUAAUACGGAGGGUGCAAGCGUUAAUCGGAAUUACUGGGCGUAAAGCGCGCGUAGGUGGCUUGAUAAGCCGGUUGUGAAAGCCCCGGGCUCAACCUGGGAACGGCAUCCGGAACUGUCAAGCUAGAGUGCAGGAGAGGAAGGUAGAAUUCCCGGUGUAGCGGUGAAAUGCGUAGAGAUCGGGAGGAAUACCAGUGGCGAAGGCGGCCUUCUGGACUGACACUGACACUGAGGUGCGAAAGCGUGGGUAGCAAACAGGAUUAGAUACCCUGGUAGUCCACGCCGUAAACGAUGUCCACCAUCCGUUGGGUGCCUAGCGCACUUUGUGGCGAAUUUAACGCGAAAAGUCGACCGCCUGGGGAGUACGCGCCGCAAGUUUAAAACUCAAGUGAUUUGGACG